UCCUAUGUGAAAGGUGUUCGUGCACAGUUUUCUCUUCAGAUCAUCUUCUCUGAUCUUGCGAAGAGUCGAAGAAGGAGAUCCAAAUCAAAAGAGCGAGAUCUGAAAGAGAGCUAGCACCUUGGUAGUUUUGGAUGCUUCUGAUCUAUAUCAGUUCUAUAUGGAUACAAGUAGAGGCUGGACAUGUGUGCAGUUUCAUCGAAACCUACAGACAUCUUUAGAUCUAUAUCCCAAAGCAGAAAAGUAGUGCUAUAGGUAGGUGAUUCAUCACC
This 269-nucleotide long non-coding RNA is filed under the name Elaeis guineensis (African oil palm). Its description in RNAcentral is "long non-coding RNA (EGUI_LNC058976)". Lineage: Eukaryota; Viridiplantae; Streptophyta; Magnoliopsida; Arecales; Arecaceae. The record is from RNAcentral.